Molecule: ribosomal RNA, 495 nt
Filed under: uncultured bacterium
Lineage: Bacteria
Description: partial 16S ribosomal RNA
Rfam family: Bacterial small subunit ribosomal RNA
Source: RNAcentral
GACGAACGCUGGCGGCGUGCCUAAUACAUGCAAGUAGAACGCUGAAGGAGGAGCUUGCUUCUCUGGAUGAGUUGCGAACGGGUGAGUAACGCGUAGGUAACCUGCCUGGUAGCGGGGGAUAACUAUUGGAAACGAUAGCUAAUACCGCAUAAUAGCAGUUAUUGCAUGAUAACUGUUUGAAAGGUGCAAUUGCACCACUACCAGAUGGACCUGCGUUGUAUUAGCUAGUUGGUGGGGUAACGGCUCACCAAGGCGACGAUACAUAGCCGACCUGAGAGGGGGAUCGGCCACACUGGGACUGAGACACGGCCCAGACUCCUACGGGAGGCAGCAGUAGGGAAUCUUCGGCAAUGGACGGAAGUCUGACCGAGCAACGCCGCGUGAGUGAAGAAGGUUUUCGGAUCGUAAAGCUCUGUUGUAAGAGAAGAACGAGUGUGAGAGUGGAAAGUUCGCACUGUGACGGUAUCUUACCAGAAAGGGACGGCUAACUACGUG